AGGCAUGGAAACUGAGCCUAGCUAAGAUAAGGCGUUACACAGCUUCGUUUCAUGGGAUCAUCAUAUUCCAUCCCAUGCACAGCAUUGAGAAAGGGCAAGUCUCUGGAACCGGUUCUGUUGGACAGCAAGCUCCGGGUUUCACAUGACAGGAAAGACACAUGCACACACGGCAGGAAAAACAUGUUUUAUUGGCCUACCUUAAUACACAAGUAUUUAACUUCACAUUGUUCUAAUUUGGAUAUUUGUAAUAAAGUAAUUUGAAUAUUAAUGUCUAA
Molecule: long non-coding RNA, 275 nt
Organism: Penaeus vannamei (Pacific white shrimp)
Lineage: Eukaryota; Metazoa; Arthropoda; Malacostraca; Decapoda; Penaeidae
Source: RefSeq, a predicted model, not a curated record